UACGGAGGGUGCGAGCGUUGUCCGGAAUCACUGGGCGUAAAGGGCGCGUAGGCGGCCUGAUAAGUAGGGGGUGAAAUCCUGCGGCUUAACCGCAGGGCUGCCUUCUAAACUGUCAGGCUGGAGCACAGUAGAGGCAGGUGGAAUUCCCGGUGUAGCGGUGGAAUGCGUAGAGAUCGGGAAGAACAUCAGUGGCGAAGGCGGCCUGCUGGGCUGUUGCUGACGCUGAGGCGCGACAGCGUGGGGAGCAAACGGG
Molecule: ribosomal RNA, 253 nt
Filed under: uncultured bacterium
Lineage: Bacteria
Description: partial 16S ribosomal RNA
Rfam family: Bacterial small subunit ribosomal RNA
Source: RNAcentral